RNAcentral lists this ribosomal RNA (826 nucleotides) under Colletotrichum gloeosporioides. RNAcentral describes it as "eukaryotic LSU rRNA". It matches the Rfam family "Eukaryotic large subunit ribosomal RNA", at positions 76 to 933 of the family's 3401-position model. The record is from RNAcentral. Lineage: Eukaryota; Fungi; Ascomycota; Sordariomycetes; Glomerellales; Glomerellaceae.
UGCCUCAGUAACGGCGAGUGAAGCGGCAACAGCUCAAAUUUGAAAUCUGGCCCCAGGCCCGAGUUGUAAUUUGCAGAGGAUGCUUUUGGUGCGGUGCCUUCCAAGUUCCCUAGAACGGGACGCCAGAGAGGGUGAGAGCCCCGUACAGUUGGACACCAAGCCUUUGUAAAGCUCCUUCGACGAGUCGAGUAGUUUGGGAAUGCUGCUCAAAAUGGGAGGUAUAUUUCUUCUAAAGCUAAAUACCGGCCAGAGACCGAUAGCGCACAAGUAGAGUGAUCGAAAGAUGAAAAGCACUUUGAAAAGAGGGUUAAACAGCACGUGAAAUUGUUAAAAGGGAAGCGCUUGUGACCAGACUUGCGUCCGGUGAAUCACCCAGCUCUCGCGGCUGGGGCACUUCGCCGGCUCAGGCCAGCAUCAGCUCGCUGUCGGGGACAAAAGCUUCAGGAACGUAGCUCUCUUCGGGGAGUGUUAUAGCCUGUUGCACAAUACCCUUCGGCGGGCUGAGGUACGCGCUCCGCAAGGAUGCUGGCAUAAUGGUCAUCAGCGACCCGUCUUGAAACACGGACCAAGGAGUCAACCUUAUGUGCGAGUGUUCGGGUGUCAAACCCCUACGCGUAAUGAAAGUGAACGCAGGUGAGAGCUUCGGCGCAUCAUCGACCGAUCCUGAUGUUCUCGGAUGGAUUUGAGUAAGAGCAUAUAGGGUUGGACCCGAAAGAAGGUGAACUAUGCGUGUAUAGGGUGAAGCCAGAGGAAACUCUGGUGGAGGCUCGCAGCGGUUCUGACGUGCAAAUCGAUCGUCAAAUAUGCGCAUGGGGGCGAAAGACUA